RNAcentral lists this ribosomal RNA (253 nucleotides) under uncultured bacterium. RNAcentral describes it as "partial 16S ribosomal RNA". It matches the Rfam family "Bacterial small subunit ribosomal RNA", at positions 524 to 776 of the family's 1533-position model. The record is from RNAcentral.
UACGAAGGGGGCGGGCGUUGUUCGGAAUUACUGGGCGUAAAGGGCGCGCAGGCGGCCUUAGAAGUCAGAUGUGAAAGCCCCGGGCUCAACCUGGGAAUGGCAUUUGAUACUCUGAGGCUGGAGUACGGGAGAGGAGAGUGGAAUUCCCAGUGUAGAGGUGAAAUGCGUAGAUAUCGGGAGGAACACCUGCGGCGAAAGCGGCUCACUGGACCACAACUGACGCUGAGGCGCGAAAGCUAGGGGAGCAAACAGG